RNAcentral lists this long non-coding RNA (4591 nucleotides) under Xyrichtys novacula (pearly razorfish). Lineage: Eukaryota; Metazoa; Chordata; Actinopteri; Labriformes; Labridae. The record is from RNAcentral.
GCAGCAGAUACUACCAGCAAUAUUAAAGACUUCCCCCGCAAACUCUUUGAGCUGUGAAAUGUUUGACGCUGUACGAGUGUAGCGAAGCGCGUUGCCAGGUGAGCGCCGGUCCUCCCCCUCCUCACUUCUUCAUGUGUUCGAUGUAAGUGUGUCAGCAAGUUCCAGAUGUCAGUUACGCAAUGUCUAAUUACAGAAAGACGAGCGGCUUGAUUUGUCACUUUGAAGGUGUGUGUGUGUGUUUUCUGUGUGUAUACAUAUACUGUAACAAAUUGACAGCAGAAUUUACAGUGAAUAUCUUGCAAAAAGUUGACAUAAAGUAGUGUAAAAAGUGUUGUGAACUUACAGUAUUUAAUAUGAGAGUAAUCUCAAAUCAAUAAACAAAAAUCUACAAAUACUAACAAUUCUCUUCUCCAUGUUUUUUUUUUUUGUAUGAAUGCUAUUUUCUGAUAGUUUUACAGUAAAUUUGUGUUUUAGCAAAGCUCUGCAAGGUAUGUGCCAUCUAAUUAUGCAAGUGCUUAAGAAACCAAACAUGCUUCAGAUCCACGAUACAACAUCACUACUUAAAAAAGCAGUAUUUUACCUUUAAGAUAAAACCAAAUAAUGCAAAUAAAUGAGAUUUUUAUUAUAGUGAAUUGUUCAAGGGCUUUAUAACAGAGUAUUAAGGCCACAUAAAAAGUCAAGAUUUUAGUGAUGCUACGAGAAUAACGUAGGGAAAAAAAUCAGUUUAAAUAUAAGUUAAAUCACAGUUAUGAGGCUAAAGUGAUAGUUAAUUUAAAUACAAAUAUUCUGAGAAUUAUGUCUAUAACAGUUAAGUCUUUAGAGUAAAAAAAAAUAAAAUAAAGUUGCUAGUUAACAAUCAGCCACAUGAUGCUGUUUUGAAGGGUGAUUCUACACUUCUCACUUUUAUGCACAUUGUCUUUUCAGAGUCUUGAUUUCUAGAACAAUGUGGUGCUGAUGUGCUAAAGAAAUUAACUAAACUGCAGUUUAACCAAGAUGCUUCAUGUUCUUAAUUUUUGUGGCCCUGAACUGGUUUAUUGUUUUGAAAUGGGUUUAGUUUGUCUUGCAGUCAGAUUCAAGAUGAAAAUGCUCCCUUGCUCAACCCUGAUCCCUGGGCGGACAAGAAGCCUCGGUGAUGUGUAAUAAGUCUACAGACAAGUUUUGGCCGUUUUUUCCUGUGCAUCAGUGCGGUGUUUAUCACUGUUUUAACAAACCAGGGUCCAAAACGAUAUUUAUUCAAAAUUUCUAAUAUCGCUGUGAUGAGUAAAAGAAGAAGAGAUGGGUCAAGUGGAUCAUUUCAGGGACAUCCUUGAGAGAAUAACAAUAAAAUUUCUCCAAUGAUAGCAGAAAGCUAUGUAAACGUGCUGAAUUUCGGAUAGCAUCAUACAAUCAAAUGAUAGACAAGUGAGUCAUUUCUAAUGUUUGCGUAUUAUCACUUUUUAAUGUUCGGAUCAUUUCCAUCUGACAGAAUUGCUCAGUUUUUAAAGAAAAGUGCUUUUAUUUUAGAGAUUACAUCCUUUCAACAUCCUGUUCGUGUCUCUCAGUCAGUGGAUAGCUGACAUCUUUAAUUUACUGUUAUAGAGGAUUUAAAACUAAAAGUAAAGACUGAAAAACACGAACAUCAACAUAAUCUCCUGAAUGAGGUCAAACCAACAGGAAAUAACAGGCCAGAGGAGAAACCGCUUCAUCUGGGUUCGACUCAGGUGAACAAAGUUUAAUAUCAGAUCACGAUGAUGAAGUGUUAGCAUACCUUCCCUUAGCCUCUCUGUGUCAUGUGAUAAAACAUGACAGAGAUGAACAGAUAGAGCCUAUCUCUUCCUCCCAGCGCCACUUCUCUUUCUAUAAGAUAAUCUGGAGAUAGGCCUGCUAUUCAUUUGUAUGCAGAUGAUAAUCAGCUGUACGUGAGUGAACCGCUGUUCCAGCUGUGACCUUGUUUAAUUAUUGAUCAGCAGAGAACAUAGUUAUGAACAUCAGUGUUUUAUAAAGUGGACAAUAUGUUGAAUAAAUGAAUGUCAGAAAAUCACAAAGCUGGGAAAAGUUAACAAACUGCAGUCGUCAUCUAUAGAUAUUUUUCUGUUACUCACAAAUUAAUGUCAAUAACAACUCUGACGUUUGUGAGUUAGUGGUGCUGCAAACUGUUUAAAACCACUGGCAGUAGCUUAGGAGGUAGAGCGGUCAUCCAACAACUGAAAGGUUGGCAGUUCUAUUCCCCCCUAUCCCUAGUCUGUCUGUUGUUUGUUCUUCCUCUUUGCUCCCAGUGUAUGUUCUUCACUGGUGUGUGAUUUAUAUAUGUCGCUUUGGAUAAAAGCAUCUGCUUAAUGACAUUGUAAUUUUAUUUUCUUUACUGAUGUUCCUCCAUGCUUCUAGUCAUUUUAUGAGUAUCUUAAAAGCUGAAAUGCAUAUGAAAGUCUUUUGAAUAUUCUUUUUUGGUAACGUAUCUUAACAAGACUGUAAAUCUGUCAUAUUCGCCAUCUUAACAUCAUCCUAUCUAAGUAUUUGCUCAGUUUUUGAUUCAGCCUCAAGUGGUCAAUCCUGGAACUGCAGCUGUUUUUCAAAGAUCAACUUCAUCAUUAGAAACCACAGCCGUAGUCAGAGGCAAGAUGAGAGGGAGGGGGGCUGCAAUGCACCAAACACUGCUGGGACUGAUUUAUUAUUACCCAUGUGACCAAAACUUUUUCAGAAAUGAUUUUACCACGCUAAAUGAUUGUUUGUCAUGCUUUUAUUUUGAUAUUUAUGGUCCCGCAAUCAUUUUGCUUUACAUCUUUUUUUUUUAUUUUGAGGUUCACUACUUUUGGUAGAUCAUAAGUUUUGAGAACUAAAUAAAAUAAAAAUAAGUAGAAAUGAUCAGUAACCAUGGAAGUAAAAGCUUUAGCAUUGUUUCCGGAUUCACGAUAAAUCUUAAACAGAAGUUUUAAAAGUGUUGAAUCACCUCUCAGAGCGCAGCUUAUUUAAGACAUAUCAAUAUUUUAUUUCAUGUUUUACGACAGCUGUCCACACUCCUGUCGAAUUGUGACAGCUCUAGCUCACAAUAAACGUUACAUCUCUAAAAUAAGCUUUUUAUGUGUCAUAUCUUACAGUCUUUCUGUCUUUAACCUCUCCUGUCUUUGCUGUCUUUCUUUUUUUUCUCACUGGAUCACUGGAUUGAUUACAGCUUUUGAGGCAGGGCUAUAGAAGUUGUGCUCUCUCGAGAAAUAACUAAUGCUAUGGAGUAACGACCAAUCAGAAUCCAGUAUUUAAUACAGCUUAUGUUAAGUUGCUAAACUAAGGUUGUGAGUGUGUACAGCUUGUUGACCUCGACAUGUUUGUUCUAGCCGAGGUAUAAACUCAUGUUUGAUGGUUUAAUUAGUGACCCUCUCCUCCCUCUUGUCCCUGCUCGGCAGUGAUGAAGAGAUGGACGUUUCCUUUUGUAACCGUGACCUUUAGCUGUGUCAGGUCUGCAAAGAAUAGCUCCGUGUGGACUAUCAUAAAACAAAAACUGACACCAUACAUGUCGUAUAUAUGCGAGAAGAGAAACCUGGCUGCACUUUCUGCAGACUUCUUUUAAACAUGGGUGAAGCAGCGCAGUAAUCAACUACAGGUUGUCAGUGUGGUUAUAAAUACAGCUGUGUGUGCAGUUAUGUUAAAAAAAGGUGUUGUAUUAAUAGAGCACACUGACCCCCACCUCCCUCCUGUCCAACCCCCCACUGCCACAGAAUGACGGAUCGAUUGAAGAGUGACAGCAGUGAGGAAAUAGAGAGAGAUUCAGGAUUUACAUCGUCCUCUGACACGCUCAUAUAAACGCCCCCCAAUGAUAAAGAGACUACACUCUGACAAGGACGCCAGUCCUGCUUUGGCUGCUCUCAAGUUAAAGAUUUGCCAUCUCCCUCUCCUCUUUCCCUCCCUCGCUCCCUCUAUCUCUCUCUUUUAGCAGAUUUCACACAAAGCAUAUAACCUUUGUGAAUUAUUUAGUUUAUUGACCUCUGCGGGGAUUUAAUAUGAAGGUCGUUUCCUGCUGGCAGAGCGAGCGCCGGCGGGGUCCUCAGGUGACAUGGCCAAGGUCGCCCGUCUCCCUCCAGUUAAUAAUAUAUUUGUCACACGCAGCGUGUUCGCCCCCGACACAGCGCUACUGCCUUCCACUUGAUUAGUGCAACCAAUAAGGACUGCCAAAGAUAAUAAAGUAGACAUUGGCUUAAGGAGAUGUGUCAAAUGUCCACAGCAUCUCUCUCUAUCUCCCCCCACACAGAUACUCUGAGCACCAACACACACUCAUACACACACACACAAAUUCACACCCUAUCCCUCCUCCUCCUCCCCCCACCUCCUCCUCCUCCUCCUCUCUGUUCUUGUUUUAUUGUUUCCUAGAUGAAGGUUAAAGGGAGAUGCUGAACAGACAGAACAGCCGGAGGGCUGUGGAGAGCCUGGCUGCAGCAGGCGGUGCUUUGGGUACCAGCAGCGAACAACCUCUGCAGCCCCCUCCGCCCCUCCACAAGGCCACACAGAGCUCUGGUGUGUCAGAGGGGCGAGAGGGUGAGCUGGCCAGAGCCACGGGGGCAAGUGGGUCACAGCAUCUGAUGUACAGGGGGGGCAGUAGAGAGCUGCUGGUCCCUGACCAGGC